GCUCCAAUAGCGUUCACUAGAGUUGUUGCGGUUAAAAAGCUCGUAGUUGGACUUCUACUUUGUCUAGUCUUUCCACCUACGGGUGUGAGAUGAUCAUGACUUAGUAUUUGUGCGAGAAGUUUCGGCUGCUCGUACCUUUACCUGAGUAAAUCAGCGUGUUUACAGCAGGCCUUCGCCUUGAAUGUUGUAGCAUGGGAUAA
This 200-nucleotide ribosomal RNA is filed under the name uncultured eukaryote. RNAcentral describes it as "partial 18S ribosomal RNA". It matches the Rfam family "Eukaryotic small subunit ribosomal RNA", at positions 588 to 817 of the family's 1831-position model. The record is from RNAcentral.